Molecule: ribosomal RNA, 252 nt
Filed under: uncultured Bacteroidales bacterium
Lineage: Bacteria; Pseudomonadati; Bacteroidota; Bacteroidia; Bacteroidales
Description: partial 16S ribosomal RNA
Rfam family: Bacterial small subunit ribosomal RNA
Source: RNAcentral
UACGGAGGAUGCGAGCGUUAUCCGGAUUUAUUGGGUUUAAAGGGUGCGCAGGCGGAAUGUCAAGUCAGCGGUAAAAUUUCGGGGCUCAACCCCGUCGUGCCGUUGAAACUGGCGUUCUUGAGUGAGCGAGAAGUAUGCGGAAUGCGUGGUGUAGCGGUGAAAUGCAUAGAUAUCACGCAGAACUCCGAUUGCGAAGGCAGCUUACCAAGCUACUUCUGACGUUGAGGCACGAAAGCGUGGGGAGCAAACAGG